UCUAAGUAUUUGAAAUUCCAAAUUUCCAUUAUUGUAAAUAUGAAGAAAUUAAUUUUCUGUUUGUUUUUAUUUACCUAUCGUUGACGAGUUUGUCUGUCUGGGGGUUACGUGGACGUCUUUUCAUUAUGUCAGAUUCUGCUUUUUCGUAAGCCAAUACCAUGUCUGUUCCAAGAUCGAUACAGAGAAUCGCAACGGUGCCAAGCGGCAACGGAAUUUCGGCUAAAAUAAAUACUAGAAAUGGAGAAAUUUCCGGAAUGUUGGAUGUCAGUGUGUAAGCGAUGGAUUUCUUCAAGUUAUCAAAAAUAAGCCGGCCUUCUUCGACACCAGUGACAAUAGAAGCGAAAUU
Molecule: long non-coding RNA, 346 nt
Organism: Daphnia pulicaria
Lineage: Eukaryota; Metazoa; Arthropoda; Branchiopoda; Diplostraca; Daphniidae
Exons: 2
Source: RefSeq, a predicted model, not a curated record